Leopardus geoffroyi (Geoffroy's cat) is the source of this 7137-nucleotide long non-coding RNA. RefSeq lists it as uncharacterized. The record is from RefSeq and is a predicted model, not a curated record. The transcript has 2 exons. NCBI's taxonomy places the organism in Eukaryota, Metazoa, Chordata, Mammalia, Carnivora, Felidae.
AGGUCGGACGUGCCCGGAGUGGGCGAAAGGAGCGAAGGGGACUCGGCCGCCAUGUUAGGAGUGCUGGGACGAUUCUGCGGAUCCCGGCUGAGGUUUUAGGGAGCUUGCGAGCCGAGUGGUGGUGCAGUGGGGACGAGUCUGUCUACACUGUGAAAGAUGGAAAAUUUCUUUUCCUCCUGAGGGUGUCUGAAGUGUUAAAAAUGCAAUAAUACUUUAUGCUGUUUUUCUCCCUUUUGCACAAUUAUUCUGAAAACAAAACUUGUUACUUUGGGUCAGUAAGGGUAUGCAUUUCACCUCUCUGUUAGUAAUACUACAGGUGAUGAAUGUAUUCUAUCAGGAAAGGCUAAGCAGAGUGAUUAGAAAUGAUAAAAACAUGGUAGAAACAGUCUUUCAGAUGUAUGCAGAUGACAACUUCAAAAACAUAGAAGAAUGGUCUGCCAUGUUUCUGAGAACAAGUCACAAGAUGAAAGGCUUUAUUUCAUUUUUAACAAAAGUAAUAUGUGUUGGUUUCAUUUAUCCAUGCAAUACAAUGGGAAAGACUCAUACAAAUAUUUCUGUUCAGAAAUACUGUCUUUGCAAGUAAUGGUAAGUAUAGGAAAGGGAGCAAAAUGUUUGCUGUUUUCUUUCUGACCUUCAGUAUAACUGUAGAAGUGUUUCACUUUUUUUUUAAUGUUUACUUAUUUUUGAGAGAGAGAAUAUGAGCAGGGGAGGGGCAGAGAGAAUGGGAGACAGGAUCGAAAGCACUGACAGCAGAGAGCCCUGCCGCUUAACCGACUGAGUCAGGUGCCCCUAACUGUUUUACAUUUAACAGAGAGAAAAUUGGUCAGGUUUGCAUUUAGGCUUAGUUUCAAACUCUUAAAUUAUUUUUAGGGGUUGGUGGUUCACUCGUGUGUCUUAUUUUACAAAGCUUUAGUGAAUCUUGUUCGUUGUACAAGAUAUUUCUUUAUAUAAGCAAUAACAUCCUCAAUCUGAGUUACUAUGGAAGACAAAUUUGCAGGGGUAGGGGGCAGAUUGCUUACAGAUCUUGUAUGUGAGAAACUAGACCUAUAUGAUGCAGUGAUUUCUGUAGUGUAAUUUGUCAUAUGUUUAGGUAGUUUGAAGUUUUCCAGGCUUACAUCCAGCGGACAUCUAACCAUAAAGAAAUGAAACAUCUAUUUAAUAUCUUUAAAAAGACUCUGAUUUAACCUUUAACUUUUAGGGGGAAAAGUCUGCAUCCUUCUUUAGAAAUUUUAUUUCCAAAGUUAAUAUUUGAGGAAUUGGACACCAGCUUCUGAAAGAUUAGCCUCAGUGAUCCAGAGAAAGCACUGGGUUAGGUGAACGUUGAAAAGUGGGAUUAGGAAUGCUUGAGGUGGAUAAAGCAACUUAAGUUCUUUUCAUCUCAGAAAAGAAUUAGGAUAUUGAUUUGUGUUAUAGGUAGCUUAUUAAAGAGUAUGGAGUCAUUUGCUCUUAUGGCAGGGUUUUUUUUCAACAGCUUCAAGUGUCAGGAUCACAUAGAGAACUCUAAAAAUAUAUAGCUGAGAACUCUAAAAUAAAAUAAAAAUAUAUAGAGAACUCUAAAAAUAUAAAAUAAAACAGAUAGUUGUCCACUCAUCUGUUGAAUUAUUGUUGAGUUAUUCUGUUAGGUUGGAACCCAUUGUGUAUUUUUAAAACUAUGAGUGAGUGGACAGUGGUAGGGUAGACUAGUUCUCUACAUCCCAUAUUUGUGUUUAUUGUGGUGCAUUACACUAGUAAUAAUAAAACUUUUGGCAAAGAUUACAGGCUUGUUAGUAAUUAUACCCAUAAAUGAAUUCUGAAAAUGUGUAGAUGAGGAAAUGAUCUGGGGAUCAGUCUAUACAUUGGUGAGGGGAGUGGGUUUGGGAAGAUUUAGUUUAGCCUUAUGAGUACCAUGAUAUCUUGAAUUAUCUGGAUAUUUCUUAGAGUUGAGUGUAAUACUAAGAAAAUAAGGAUAAGAGACACUUAUUGAAUAAGAGCUCAUGCUAUCACAAGGUUAUGGUAAAGCUAUUCAGAUUUUUUUUUUUUUUUUUUUUUUUUUUUUUUUUAAUUUUAGAGAGCAGGAGUCUGGAAAAAGGGCAGAGAGAGAGAAUCCCAAGCAGGCUCCAUGCUGAGCAUGGAACCCAAUGUGGGGCUUGAUCCCACAACCCUAGGAUCAUGACUGGAGCUAAAAUCAAGUCAGGUACUCAACCUGUUGAGCCACCCAGGUGUCCCAAGCUAUUCAAAUAUCUAAAAGAAGUAUCUAAAAAAAAGGCAACAAGAUAACUAGAAUUUUUUGAAAAUAACUUUUCUCUUCAAUAACUCCUUUCCUUGCUGUGAAUCCUAAGUUUUUUAAAUUGGUGAUGUCAGGGUGCCUGAGUGGCACAAUCGGUUGAGUAUCUGACUCGGUUUCAGCCUAGGUCAUGAUCUCACAGGUUCAUGAGUUUGAGCCCUGUGUUGGGCUUUGUGGUGGAAGCGUGGAGCCUGCUGGGACUCUGACUCACACUCUCUCCCUCCCUCCCUCUCUCUUUCUCUUUCUCUCUCUCUCUCUCUCUCUCUCUCUCUCUCUGUCCAUCCUGUGCUCAUGCUCUCUCUGUUUCAAAAAUAAAUAAACUUUUAAAAAUAAAUAAAGAUGUUAUCUUAUGUAGAGAGACGAGUCCUAAAAGUGCAGUGACAAGAGAAUUGGAAAGCAGGGGGCUAAGAUUCCAGGAGCCGAAGCAUCAGUCCCCUGGCUCAAGCCUCUUUUAUUUUUGCAAAUUGUCUGAUGGCAGCAAGCACAUACAACAUAGUAUUUGGCAUCUUGACAGGUCACGCACCUGCAGUGUAUUCCAUACUGGGUCAUGGCACCAGACCAUGGGUCAUGGGUCUGGCACCAGACAAAACAUUCUUAUCCCCAGGCCUCGCGCCUGUAUGAUGUCCUUCUGGAGAGAACGAGCAGUCCCAGCAGCUUUCCGUCCUGAGAAUGAAACUGCUUUUGGUUUCUUGCUGUUCUGUCCCUUUCCUUCAGGACAUUCUUCCAGUGCCUCCAGCUUCUUAUUCUCCAACAAUCUUAGUAUUCUUGGUAUUUAGGUGAAUGGUAUACAAUAGAGUAUCUUUUUUUUUUUGUAAGUUCCAAAUUCUUUGAUUCAUUACUGAAUUUGUCUGGACUCUUUGCAUUCAAAAUCCUGUAACAUUCUGUCAUCUGUGUCUGCUAAGGAAUGAAUACAACAUUCAAGAGGACAAGCAUUUUAAAUUAUGAAAGCAGUCCUAGAAUUCAGGCACUUAAUGGGUCCAUCUUUAGUUGAGGGAAGUCCUAUUGGAUAUGGAAUGUGAAGACUGACUUCAGUAUUUUGAGGAAUAUUGGCUUCCAUUCCUGCUGCUUCAGUGUGAAAUCUACCUUGAAUAGCUUGCUCAGUAUCGCAGAAAUUAGUAACAUUCUAAGCCUCAUUGAUAAUAGCAGCCUCUAGGGAUGUUGAUGAAGAUUAAACAAAAAUAAUUGUGUAAAACAUUUAGGAAAGGAUUUUGGAAUAUGUAAAUUUGCUGUGGAUCUUUUUUUUUUUUUUUUUUAAUUUUUAACAGUUGGGUAAAUGGUAAUUUUUUUAUUGGAUGCUUUUAAAAAUUAGCCACAGAGUAGUUUAGAGUCAUAAGGACAGAGGUUACCUUAGAUGUACUCUUCCAACAAUUUGGUCAAAUUUUACAUGACCAAGUUCCUAGCAAAAUAGUUCCAUUUCUUCCUUUGAUACAGUGAUAUGGGGCAACAAUCUUUUUCAGCCCAUACUGCAUAAAAGAAGUGUUAUAUAUAUUAAAAAGUUCUAAAAUAAUACUUUUCUAUGCCAACCUAUAAAAUUUGAGAGAACAACUAUCUCUUUUGCUAUCUUUAUCUCUUUUCCAAAAUAGAAAUAAUUUUCUUAACCUUUCUCAGAAAUGAAAUGCCAGCAACCCAAAGGUGAUAUAGACCCAACAAGUACAUUAAAAGUUAUUCUAACCUGAUCACAGAGUUGAGACAAGUAAACUUAAAGGGGAAAAAACAUUUUAUGAAAACAUCUUUACAGACCUCACCUUAGAUUAAGUUAGAUGUUUUCUAGUGUACAUUUCUAUGAGUGAACACAGCAUGUGCCAUACAGGGUUUAGCGGUUGGACUUUCUCUAGGGAAGAUCUUAACACAUUCUGGAAACUUUAAUAUUUCAUAUUUUAAAUACUUUGAGUUAAUAUUCAGGAAACUAAAAUGUAUGUUUUCUAGUCUUAGAUGACGCAUGGUGUUUGAAACAAAUUGGCAUAAUUUUAGCUGCUGGAGUUUAUAGGCCACUGAAGGUAAAUGCAGUAAAUAUCCCAAGGUCAAGAUUUAAAAUCCAAAUGUCCAUAGUUGAUGAUUAACCAGAAAAGUGAGCCCUAUUUAUCUUGUGAUUUGAUUUCUCAGUUUUUAAUAGGUUUGGAUAAUUUUAACACUAGAAAAUAUUUCUUUGCAGAAGUAUAUGAAGAUGAAUUUAAUCAAACAUAAAUGUUUAUGAAUAUAAAGCCUUUUAAGGAAACUGCAGAAAUAUGCAGUUGUAAGCAAUUAUGUAAGUAUGCACAUACUGAAAAUUCUUAACUUGGUACAUAGACAUUGAGGGUGCUAUAUGGAUUUGAACUUGCUGUGAAGGUCAAUCCUCAGUCAUAUCAUAAACCCUUUUAGGACGUGUUCAUCAUUUACCCUCUUAACACCUAACUCAUGAGUUGAUGAAUUAAGCACAUAGAUGUUUAUCAAAUUGAAUAGCUUUUUUAAGUUUUUAAACAUGGUCAAGUAAAGCAGUUGCAGAAGUGGUAAUAUAAGAGUAAACUGCAAAUAACAUUGACAUACUAGAGCAUUUACUUUACAAUUGACAUAUUGAUACUAAAGAGCAACUUCUAUAAGUAUAGUAAUAAAUGACCUUUACCACUCUCGUCCUAUUUCAGUGAAAUACUGUACUAACAAUAGUGUGGUACAUUUCCUUUGUCUCAGUUAUGAAUGUGGUGAAAGUUAAGUGUUACUUUUGGUGAUGAACUUUACAUUUAUUACCUUCUUUAGCUUUUGACAGUCUCAGUGCAAGCAUCUCCAUUUCAAUGCCACUUUGUUUACUUUGUGUAUUUAAUGCUGGGUUUUAUGCCUGUUUUGAGUUUCAGUCCCAUGACCCAUUUUCAGUAUUCAUUUUUGUGUGUCUUUUCAAAAUUGUUUGCUUCUCUAUUUCCUGCUUGUCUUGAGAUAAUUUAUGAGCAAUUUUUGUUGCUUUUCAUGUUACUGUGUAUUUGCUUGAGAUGGGUUGCUGGACUUUCUCAUUUUGCAGAUAAACUCUGCUCUUUCACAUUCCUGGGACCUGUUUGGCAUUUGUUGGAGUACUGGGUUGCUAAUAAUGGAAAAGCUGAAGAAUCGAGUACUGAGAAGAAGCCAGAAUUGAGGGGUUUGGGGAGUGAAUGAAUGGGAGUGGGGUAAGAAGUAGGUACUUAAUGUAGAUAAUUUGUUUUAUGAAGUUUGGCUCUGAAAGAGGCAAGAAAUAAUAGGAUAUAAAAAGAGGGCAUGUGGGAUUGAAAGAGGGUUUAUAUUAAAUCUUCCUACUUAGAGGCCAAAAUCACACUACUUCAGGGCACUCUGAUCAUUUCUCAAAGCAAUCAGGAUUUAGGAUUCUACCCUGCUCUGAAUGGGGCCAGGAGAGGAGGGAAAGAGCUCUGAAGUACUUUUGUAAUUUUUUUCUACAUUAUACUCCGUACUUUCCAUUUGAUUUGAUUAUUUUUCCUUUCCAGUUCCUUCAAGGGUUUUCAUGGCUACCAUUUGACCAACCUUCUGCUUGAAGAAUAGUGCAUUUUUAUGACAAUUCCAAAAAAGAGUAGCAAUGACCAAGAGCCUAGGCUUCUUUCGAGAACUUAUUGGUCCUAAAAAGGUGGUGUUUGCCCUUUAUACCUAUAUCAUUAAUACUUACCAAGCAAACCUGACUGAGAUCCUCACAAUCACUGUUAGAGAAAACAGUGCUCAUUUGAACCAGGAGAUUAAACUUGAACAAAAUUUGUCCUUGUCUAGCUGUGGUUUUCAAGAUACAUUACCUAGAGGAGGAGAAAUCUGAAAUAGAUUCUUUAAGUUAUUUACAUAAGGAAGGUAGGAUUGUGGAAAUAGAGAAAAAUGCACGAGAGAAAAGCAUCUAACAUCUUAGGGCAACAAAGCCCUCAACAAAAAAUCCGUUUCUGACAGUUAUGAACUAAAUUCUCCAUUGCUUGAACUCACUAUCAUUACCCAAUAAUUUAAGUGAGCUGCUGCUUCCCUUCAGAGGUUUAACUAGCAGAAUAAAUAGGUGUCAGCAAGAGAACAGCUAAGACAGGUAAGGAUUCUGUAUAAUCAAAAAUCUCAAAAGAAGUUGGUUAUUACUAGAUCCUGACACUCUGUAUGUCCAAAUAUGUUUCAUUUCCUUUGAUGAAAUAGGUACCAGAAGAAAUAACUGGAAGUAUUUCUGAGAAAAGACUUGUGGCUACCAAUUGAAUUGCUGUUACCAAGUUACAUUUUGAACACCAAGGCAUUGUGCAAAGCCCCAUACAUCCAACAUGACUCCCAAGUUAGCUAACACUUGACUUUGUGUCCAGGCUAAUAACUGUUUCUCGCAAAUGUAAGGCUGUCCAGCGCUCUUACCACAUCAACUGUCUGGAAGGAGGAAAAAACAUGAAAAUAAAUGUUAACUAUGUAAUUGUUUGUUGUCAUGGGCCCAAAGUUAGACCCAGAUUUGGAAACCUAUCAAAUACUCCUGCUUACUACUGUUAAUGUGGGUAAUUAUCUUAAUUGUUAAUAUUAAGUAUUAAUACUUACCUGCUCAGUAGUCUAAGAUAAGAAAUAGACUUCAUACAGGUUCAUUUGUGUGCCUGAGCCCAUUCUGGUUUUCAGUAGAAACUGGAAAGUUAUUUAUGGCCCAUUGUAACUUAAGAUAACCCUAAAUUUCUGGAAUAUAUCUUGGUGUUGUAUAGAAUUCACUUCAAGUUCACUUAAUAGUUCACAGGAAACUGAAAAAUAAUUUUUCUUAUAGUGCUGGUGAGCACAUCCUGUUAAAAUACUUGUGAACUAGUUGAGGUCAAGAUAGAACUACAGCCUACUUAUCACGUAUUUGCCAAUAGUAGUAUAAAUUAUGGAUAAAUCCUUUUAAGAUCACAACUUGAUUGUGGAAAUUUGCUUUAGUAAAAAGUAAGGACUUCAACAAA